ACUUAAGUGGUGCAAUAUGGUAGACACGGUAAUCUUAGAAGUUAUUUGUUAAGGGUUCAAAUCCCUUCUUAAGUA
This 75-nucleotide transfer RNA is filed under the name Kordiimonadales bacterium. RNAcentral describes it as "tRNA-Leu". It matches the Rfam family "tRNA". Rfam says of the family: Transfer RNA (tRNA) molecules are approximately 80 nucleotides in length. Their secondary structure includes four short double-helical elements and three loops (D, anti-codon, and T loops). The record is from RNAcentral. Lineage: Bacteria; Pseudomonadati; Pseudomonadota; Alphaproteobacteria; Kordiimonadales.